GACGAACGCUGGCGGCGUGCUUAACACAUGCAAGUCGAACGGAAAGGCCCUGCUUUUGUGGGGUGCUCGAGUGGCGAACGGGUGAGUAACACGUGAGUAACCUGCCCUUGACUUUGGGAUAACUUCAGGAAACUGGGGCUAAUAACGGAUAGGAGCUCCUGCUGCAUGGUGGGGGUUGGAAAGUUUCGGCGGUUGGGGAUGGACUCGCGGCUUAUCAGCUUGUUGGUGGGGUAGUGGCUUACCAAGGCUUUGACGGGUAGCCGGCCUGAGAGGGUGACCGGCCACAUUGGGACUGAGAUACGGCCCAGACUCCUACGGGAGGCAGCAGUGGGGAAUAUUGCACAAUGGGCGGAAGCCUGAUGCAGCAACGCCGCGUGCGGGAUGACGGCCUUCGGGUUGUAAACCUCUUUCGCCUGUGACGAAGCGUGAGUGACGGUAAUGGGUAAAGAAGCACCGGCUAACUACGUG
This 468-nucleotide ribosomal RNA is filed under the name uncultured bacterium. RNAcentral's name for it is "partial 16S ribosomal RNA". It matches the Rfam family "Bacterial small subunit ribosomal RNA", at positions 28 to 507 of the family's 1533-position model. The record is from RNAcentral.